GAUGAACGCUGGCGGCGUGCCUAAUACAUGCAAGUCGAGCGAACAGACGAGGAGCUUGCUCCUCUGACGUUAGCGGCGGACGGGUGAGUAACACGUGGAUAACCUACCUAUAAGACUGGGAUAACUUCGGGAAACCGGAGCUAAUACCGGAUAAUAUAUUGAACCGCAUGGUUCAAUAGUGAAAGACGGUUUUGCUGUCACUUAUAGAUGGAUCCGCGCCGCAUUAGCUAGUUGGUAAGGUAACGGCUUACCAAGGCAACGAUGCGUAGCCGACCUGAGAGGGUGGUCGGCCACACUGGAACUGAGACACGGUCCAGACUCCUACGGUGGGCAGCAGUAGGGAAUCUUCCGCAAAGGGCGAGAGCCUGACGGAGCAACGCCGCGUGAGUGAUGAAGGUCUUCGGAUCGUAAAACUCUGUUAUUAGGGAAGAACAAAUGUGUAAGUAACUAUGCACGUCUUGACGGUACCGAAUCAGAAAGCCACGGCUAACUACGUG
This 497-nucleotide ribosomal RNA is filed under the name uncultured bacterium. Its description in RNAcentral is "partial 16S ribosomal RNA". It matches the Rfam family "Bacterial small subunit ribosomal RNA", at positions 28 to 507 of the family's 1533-position model. The record is from RNAcentral.